Molecule: transfer RNA, 76 nt
Filed under: Pseudomonadota bacterium
Lineage: Bacteria; Pseudomonadati; Pseudomonadota
Also listed under: 2 other names
Description: tRNA-Ala
Rfam family: tRNA
About the family: Transfer RNA (tRNA) molecules are approximately 80 nucleotides in length.
Source: RNAcentral
GGGGCGGUAGCUCAUCUGGUAGAGCGCCUCGUUCGCAACGAGGAGGUAGAGGGUUCGAGUCCCUUCCGCUCCACCA